AUUGAACGCUGGCGGCAGGCCUAACACAUGCAAGUCGAGCGGAUGAAGGGAGCUUGCUCCUGGAUUCAGCGGCGGACGGGUGAGUAAUGCCUAGGAAUCUGCCUGGUAGUGGGGGAUAACGUCCGGAAACGGGCGCUAAUACCGCAUACGUCGUGUGGGAGAAAGUGGGGGAUCUUCGGACCUCACGCUAUCAGAUGAGCCUAGGUCGGUUUAGCUAGUAGGGGGGGUAAAUGCCUACAGAGGCGGCGAUCCGUAACUGGUCUGAGAGGAUGGCCAGUCACCCUGGAACUGAGACACGGUCCAGACUCCUACAGGAGGCAGCAGUGGGGAAUAUUGGACAAUGGGCGAGAGCCUGAUCCAGCCAUGCCGCGUGUGUGAAGAAGGUCUUCGGAUUGUAAAGCACUUUAAGUUGGGGGGUAGGGCAGUAAGUUAAUACCUUGCUGUUUUGACGUUACCAACAGAAUAAGCUCCGGCUAACUUCGUG
RNAcentral lists this ribosomal RNA (484 nucleotides) under uncultured bacterium. RNAcentral describes it as "partial 16S ribosomal RNA". It matches the Rfam family "Bacterial small subunit ribosomal RNA", at positions 30 to 507 of the family's 1533-position model. The record is from RNAcentral.